Molecule: ribosomal RNA, 541 nt
Filed under: uncultured bacterium
Lineage: Bacteria
Description: partial 16S ribosomal RNA
Rfam family: Bacterial small subunit ribosomal RNA
Source: RNAcentral
UGGGGAAUAUUGCACAAUGGGCGCAAGCCUGAUGCAGCCAUGCCGCGUGUGUGAAGAAGGCCUUCGGGUUGUAAAGCACUUUCAGCGAGGAGGAAGGUGGUGAACUUAAUACGUUCAUCAAUUGACGUUACUCGCAGAAGAAGCACCGGCUAACUCCGUGCCAGCAGCCGCGGUAAUACGGAGGGUGCAAGCGUCAAUCGGAAUUACUGGGCGUAAAGCGCACGCAGGCGGUUUGUUAAGUCAGAUGUGAAAUCCCCGGGCUCAACCUGGGAACUGCAUUUGAAACUGGCAAGCUAGAGUCUCGUAGAGGGGGGUAGAAUUCCAGGUGUAGCGGUGAAAUGCGUAGAGAUCUGGAGGAAUACCGGUGGCGAAGGCGGCCCCCUGGACGAAGACUGACGCUCAGGUGCGAAAGCGUGGGGCAGCAAACAGGAUUAGAUACCCUGGUAGUCCACGCUGUAAACGAUGUCGAUUUGGAGGUUGUGCCCUUGAGGCGUGGCUUCCGGAGCUAACGCGUUAAAUCGACCGCCUGGGGAGUACGGCC